GUUAGGAUAGGUUCAAAAAUAGUAAGGAUAAGUCCGAUUUUAGGAUAAGAGCCUAGGAAGAGAUAUAAGGAAGAUAAGGAGAGAAGAAAGGUAGGGAUAGGAAGGCUAGGAGAAGAGGAAGAAGGUCUUGAGAUCUUACUGUCUAAAAAAAUUCUCAGAGUGAGAAUUUUAGAGGAAAAAUCAUCUUAAGGAGUUGGUGUGCUGAUCAUAGCCCUGUGUGGAUUAU
RNAcentral lists this long non-coding RNA (226 nucleotides) under Elaeis guineensis (African oil palm). Its description in RNAcentral is "long non-coding RNA (EGUI_LNC080353)". Lineage: Eukaryota; Viridiplantae; Streptophyta; Magnoliopsida; Arecales; Arecaceae. The record is from RNAcentral.